RNAcentral lists this ribosomal RNA (252 nucleotides) under uncultured bacterium. RNAcentral's name for it is "partial 16S ribosomal RNA". It matches the Rfam family "Bacterial small subunit ribosomal RNA", at positions 524 to 776 of the family's 1533-position model. The record is from RNAcentral.
UACAGAGGUCUCAAGCGUUGUUCGGAUUCAUUGGCGUAAAGGGUGCGUAGGCGGUCUGUCGCGUCGGCUGUGAAAACCCGGGGCUCAACCCCGGGCCUGCAGUCGAUACGGGCAGACUAGAGUGCGGUAGGGGAGACUGGAAUUCCUGGUGUAGCGGUGAAAUGCGCAGAUAUCAGGAGGAACACCGGUGGCGAAGGCGGGUCUCUGGGCCGUAACUGACGCUGAGGAGCGAAAGCGUGGGGAGCGAACAGG